This 64-nucleotide transfer RNA is filed under the name Eurytides protesilaus. RNAcentral's name for it is "Protesilaus protesilaus tRNA-Cys". The record is from RNAcentral. Lineage: Eukaryota; Metazoa; Arthropoda; Insecta; Lepidoptera; Papilionidae.
AGUCUUAUAUUCAAAAAUGAUAUAAAAUUGCAAAUUUUAAGGAGUAAAUAAAUUACUAAGGCUU